GUAGCUCAGCUGGAUAGAGCGUAAGCCUCCGAAGCUUAAGGUCGGCCGUUCGAAUCGGCUC
This 61-nucleotide transfer RNA is filed under the name Bacillota bacterium. RNAcentral describes it as "tRNA-Arg". It matches the Rfam family "tRNA", at positions 7 to 64 of the family's 71-position model. Rfam says of the family: Transfer RNA (tRNA) molecules are approximately 80 nucleotides in length. Their secondary structure includes four short double-helical elements and three loops (D, anti-codon, and T loops). The record is from RNAcentral. Lineage: Bacteria; Bacillati; Bacillota.